AUACGGAGGGUGCGAGCGUUGUUCGGAAUUAUUGGGCGUAAAGAGCAUGUAGGCGGUCUGUUAAGUCUGGUGUGAAAGCCCGGGGCUCAACCCCGGAAGUGCAUUGGAUACUGGCAGACUUGAGUAUGGGAGAGGAAAGCGGAAUUCCGAGUGUAGGAGUGAGAUCCGUAGAUAUUCGGAGGAACACCAGUGGCGAAGGCGGCUUUCUGGACCAAUACUGACGCUGAGAUGCGAAAGCGUGGGGAGCAAACAGGAUUAGAAACCCCAGUAGUCC
RNAcentral lists this ribosomal RNA (274 nucleotides) under uncultured bacterium. Its description in RNAcentral is "partial 16S ribosomal RNA". It matches the Rfam family "Bacterial small subunit ribosomal RNA", at positions 523 to 796 of the family's 1533-position model. The record is from RNAcentral.